UCAACCAUCAAGCUUGGCUUGUAGUUGGACUUUUGGUUAAGGAAGCUCCUGGACCAGUCCAAAAGAUAAUGAACGAGUACUUAGCAACCCUCGAUGCAACGAGCUUUUUAAAAGCACGCAUUAUACGGUUGAUAAGCGUCGUUUUCAACCCACCAUUUUUCUAA
Molecule: unclassified non-coding RNA, 164 nt
Filed under: uncultured Ascomycota
Lineage: Eukaryota; Fungi; Ascomycota
Description: sequence contains ITS2
Source: RNAcentral